GUGUGGAGGGAACGCGGGGAAGUGAAACAUCUCAGUACCCGUAGGAAGAGAAAAUAAGAAUGAUUCCGGGAGUAGUGGCGAGCGAAACUGGAUGAGCCUAAACCGUGUGCGUGUCAAGCGUGCUGGUGUUGCGUACAUGGUGUUGUGGGGUGUGUGUGUUCGGUUCAGCAUGACCGAGACGCUGAUGAGUGCUUACGUGUAGUCGAAGCUGGUGGGAAACAGUACCGGAGUGGGUGAGAGUCCCGUAGACGAAACGCGUGGCCCCGGUGUGACACGUGUCCCCGAGUAGCACGGAACUCGUGGAAUUCCGUGUGAAUCUGCCAGGACCACCUGGUAAGGCUAAAUACUUCCUGAUGACCGAUAGCGGAUCAGUACCGUGAGGGAAUGGUGAAAAGUACCCCGGGAGGGGAGUGAAAG
This 417-nucleotide ribosomal RNA is filed under the name Burkholderia multivorans. Its description in RNAcentral is "bacterial LSU rRNA". It matches the Rfam family "Bacterial large subunit ribosomal RNA", at positions 172 to 543 of the family's 2925-position model. Lineage: Bacteria; Pseudomonadati; Pseudomonadota; Betaproteobacteria; Burkholderiales; Burkholderiaceae. The record is from RNAcentral.